RNAcentral lists this ribosomal RNA (505 nucleotides) under Cervidellus vexilliger. RNAcentral's name for it is "SSU rRNA". It matches the Rfam family "Eukaryotic small subunit ribosomal RNA", at positions 88 to 590 of the family's 1831-position model. Lineage: Eukaryota; Metazoa; Nematoda; Chromadorea; Rhabditida; Cephalobidae. The record is from RNAcentral.
CGCGAAUGGCUCAUUAUAACAGCUAUAAUUUACUUGAUCUUGACACAAUCCUACUUGGAUAACUGUGGUAAUUCUAGAGCUAAUACAUGCAUUAAAGCUCUGACCUCGCGGGAAGAGUGCACUUAUUAGAACAAAACCAAGCGGCUUCGGCUGUUUUCGGUUGACUCAUAGUAACUGAGCUGAUCGCACGGUCUUGCACCGGCGACGUGUCUUUCAAGUAUCUGCCGUAUCAACUUUCGAUGGUAGUGUAUCUGACUACCAUGGUGAUCACGCGUAACGGAGAAUAAGGGUUCGGCUCCGGAGAGUUCGCCUGAGAAAUCGCGAACACAUCUAAGGAAGGCAGCAGGCGCGAAAAUUACCCACUCUCAGCACGAGGAGGUAGUGACGAAAAAUAACGAGACCGUUCUCUUAUGAGGCCGGUCAUCGGAAUGGGUACAAUUUAAACCCUUUAACGAGUAUCUAUGAGAGGGCAAGUCUGGUGCCAGCAGCCGCGGUAAUUCCAGCU